AUCCAGUGACGAGUCCGAAAUAGGACGAAAUCGCAUCCUGGAU
RNAcentral lists this non-coding RNA (43 nucleotides) under Trichobilharzia regenti. Lineage: Eukaryota; Metazoa; Platyhelminthes; Trematoda; Strigeidida; Schistosomatidae. The record is from RNAcentral.